AGCAGCCGCGGUAAUUCCAGCUCCAAUAGCGUAUAUUAAAGUUGUUGCAGUUAAAAAGCUCGUAGUUGAAUUUCGGGGUUAGUAGGUUGGUCGUGCCACUGGUAUGUACUGGUUCUACUGAUCCCUCCUUCUUGUAGAACCGUAAUGCCAUUCACUUGGUGUUGCGGGGAAACAGGACUGUUACUUUGAAAAAAUUAGAGUGUUUAAAGCAGGCUAACGCUUGAAUACAUUAGCAUGGAAUAAUGAAAUAGGACGUUCGAUCCUAUUUUGUUGGUUUCUAGGAUUGACGUAAUGAUUAAUAGGGAUAGUUGGGGGCAUUAGUAUUCAAUUGUCAGAGGUGAAAUUCUUGGAUUUAUUGAAGACUAACUACUGCGAAAGCAUUUGCCAAGGAUGUUUUCAUUAAUCAAGAACGAAAGUUAGGGGAUCGAAGACGAUCAGAUACCGUCGUAGUCUUAACCAUAAACUAUGCCGACUAGGGAUCGGAUGAUGUUAAUUUUUUAAUGUACUCAUUCGGCGCCUU
Molecule: ribosomal RNA, 520 nt
Filed under: uncultured Glomeromycotina
Lineage: Eukaryota; Fungi; Glomeromycota
Description: SSU rRNA
Rfam family: Eukaryotic small subunit ribosomal RNA
Source: RNAcentral